CAAUGUUGUUCUAACAAGUCUGAUACAGUCAUGAUGAACAAGAAUGUUACAAGGUUGACGACACAGGGUUGUAACAAUAUUGUUAUAUCAUGACUGUAUCGGACUUGUUGGAACAACCUUG
This is a non-coding RNA of Paramuricea clavata, 121 nucleotides long. Lineage: Eukaryota; Metazoa; Cnidaria; Anthozoa; Malacalcyonacea; Plexauridae. The record is from the annotation of a GenBank genome assembly.